AGCCAUUGUUACAGCACUGAGAAGGUAUCCUUAGACAGGUGGACCUGUGUGAAAUAAAGGAGGUACAUUUCUCUUGGAGGAGCGGAUUGUAUUUUCAAAUGUACUUUAGAACCUAGGAUGCCUUGUGCAGUAAUAACCAAAGCCUUAGAAGUUUAGCCUCUUUGAGAAAUUCACAAUUGGAUCACAGUUCACUGCAGCUCAGUAGGAAGAAAUUAGUAUUUCUGAGACUACAUAGAUCACCAGUUUUCUCUUGAGGAUGACCAUUUUCCCAGAACUAAUUGAAUCUGACUCCUUCCUCUGUGCAGCUUCAUCAGGAAAUAUGGUUUUGCUCAAUGUAGCAGUGUCAACUUAGUAACUGGACAACUCAUGUGCUAACAAUGCUGGACAGUUUUCUUUAAAUUUAUAAUUUAUGCUGCAAUGGCUCUUUUUCUUUAUUGUAUUGGCUUUGAUGGAGUAACACGUCAAAAUGGCUAAAGGGUACAAGCAACUAAUGUAAAUUAUUAGUGAAAUGCUACACAUAAAAGACAUUAAACAUUCAACAUUGUGGUUUGUAAACAGUAGGCAGGGAGUUAUAACAAAAAGCCCAUUUGUAGGCAAAUAUUUAGUUUUGACUUCUUCAAAGUUUUAUGAAGAUGAGAGACAAUCCUAAACCCCAGAGGAGGGAGCUUAUAAGAACGAAGUUGACAAUGAGCCACAUGGAAACAAAUUCAUGAAGAGGCCACAGACCUAGAAAGAGCUGGAAACAUUGACCAGGCAACAAAGAAGACCAAACCAGGAGAAUGAGGCCAAAGCCUUCCUAGUGCAUGAAAAUGACAAGGAUUUGCUGAUUAUUUAGCCUCAAAAACUGCACAGAAACAACCAAUUGCUGGGCCAUGGAUCCUGAAUCUGAUCAUCCAUGAAGAAGGUGUGAGUAGGCCUCAGGCACAUGGGCUCCAGAAGUGACAACUAAAUAGCAGGAUCCUGGGACGAAAACUUACAACAGAAAAUUACCUGUGAUGCCACUUUUCAUGAAAAACCAAUAGAAGUGAACGACUGAUUGUUGUGGACCAAGAAGUAUAGGGAACAUACAAGCAGCUCUUCAGCAUUAAGAAUGUGAUGGGAGAGAUUCAGGUAGAUUUGAACUGCCAUCAUCAAUCAAGACCAAGGAGAAGGCUGCUUUCCAGGAUGUACACAUGGCCUCUGUUUGCUGUUGCUGUUUUGCUUCUUUUAAGAGGUGAACCAAUAUAUGUAUGUCUGUUUCUACUGUCACUUGCAGCUCAACAGAACCCUGUAAUAUACAUGAACAAGUUUCUGGAAGUUAAGAGGAAAUUCCACUGAAACAAAAUAGAACAUACCUUUAUGUUCUAUUGAGAGAGUGUGGAAGAAGAAAAUUCUGUAUUGGUUUUGACUAACAACAAGCUGCCGGAAGAUCUCUUUUUCUCCUACAGGUUAAUAAGGAGAAAAUUGAAAUUAGAAGCAUAAAGCAUUUUGUCAAGAUAUAACUAUGAAGAUAUUUUCAUUACUAAAUAUACAAAUAGGCCAGUUGCAGUGGCUCACACCUGUAAUCCCGGCAUUUUGGGGGACCGAGGCAGGCAGAUCGCCUGAAGUCAGGAGUUCGAGACCAGCCUGGCCAUCAUGGAGAAACUCCAUCUCUACUAAAAAUACAAAAUUAGCCGUGUGUAGUGACACAUGCCUGUAAUCCCAGCUACUUGGGAGGCUGAGGCAGGAGAAUCGCUUGAACUCAGGAGGCAGAGGUUGCUGUCAGCCAAUAUUGCACCACUGCACUCCAACCUGGGCAAUAAGAGCAAAACUCCAUCUCAAAAAAUAAGUAAAUAAAUAAAUAAUAAUAUAUAUACAUUUUCAUACACAUAUACUUGUCUAAAUAUGGCAUAUAAAUCUAAAUAAAUAAAUGGAUAUAUCCAUCUCCUUGUGUAUAAUUCAUAUUUAUAUUAAUAUAUACUCAUUCUCUUAUGUAAGCCCUUCCCCUUGAUUAUUGGUGUGACCUGUGACUUACUUCUGUCCAACAAAAUGCAGUAAAGAUGAUGGGAUAUAUGCAAUUACAUGCACAUGAUUAUAUGACUGUUGUAAAAGAUUGUAGCACUUGUCAUGCUGGAGUCUUUCUUUCCCUUACUGACUUUGAGGAAGAAACACUUUGCAUAGCAAGGAACUAUGGGUGGCCUCCAAGAGUGGUUUCCAGCAGUCAGCAAGAAAUUGAAAUCCUCAGUUUAACAACCAAAAGGAAAUGAAUUCUGCCAUCAACUUGCAUGAAUUGUGAAACAAAUUCUUCCCCAGUAAAACCUCAGAUGAGAUCACAACCCAGCUGACAUGUUGGUUGCAAUAAAUACAUUGCAAUCAAUGAUUUGGAUUGCAGCAUAAAACUAAGGUGUAUCUAGUCUCCUGACACAUAGAAACUGUGAGAUAGUAAAUGUACAUGGUUUUAAGCUGCUAAUUUUUUGGUAAUAUUGUUAUGCAGCAGUAGAUAACUCAUACAAAUUUUAGUACAUGGAAGUCUGAUGCUGCUAUAACAAACACCGAAAAAUUUUGGGAGUUGUUUUCGAACCAGGCACUGGAUGCAGGCUGAAAUAAAUUUUUGAAGAACAUGAUAGAGAAAACUUAAAUGUCCUCAAACACACCGUUAGUAGAAAUACAUGGAAAGAGUGCUGUCAGUGAGGGCAGUUCAAAUAUUUUAAGUGUCUUGUGAUAUGUCCUUUGACCAUGGAUUAUUUAGAAGUAUUUAGAUUAUUUAGAAGUAUUUCUAAAAACUUGGAAAUUAUUCAUUUUUUGCUUAUUUAUUUUUAAUUUAUUACUUUUUGGUCACAAACAUCCUCUGUAUGAUUCAUGUUGUUUGAAAGACAUUUUUCUAUUCCUACCACCUGAGAUUACAACUUGAUAUUUGUCCUCUUCUGGCUUAUAUUGCUAUGUACUUAAGUUCAUUGUUCUUUUAUUCUGCCUUGUUUAAUUUGAUGUCAGUUUCAUCCAGUUAGUUUUUCAUUUUGAUAUUGUAAUUUUUUUAGUUUAGGAAGUUCCAUUGAUUUUUUUCCCUAUCUUCCUUUUCUAUUCUUCUAAUUUUCUUGUUUAAAUUCUUAAGCACUUUCGUAAUAGUUGUUUUAUUCCCCCUUUCUGCUAAUCUUAUCAUUUCUGUCAUUUCUUGAUCUCUUUCUGUUAAUUGAUUUUUAUCUUGAUUACAGGCCACCUUUUUUCUAUUUCUUCUUUCGUAUAGUAAUCAUUGAUUGAAUGGCUGAUAUUUUACCAUAUUGAUUGAAUUUUACUCUCUUCCUUAUUCCGUUUCCAGGGGUAGUUAAGUAACUUAUAAAUAUUAUUGAUCUAAUCAAGGUUUAAUUUUAGGCCUUCCAAGGGCAGAACUAGAUUAAUCUUUGAAGUAGGUCUAAGUUAACACUGCUACCAAGAUUUGAAUUUUCUGGGGUCUCUGAGGCAUUGGAAUCUUUCCACUGUGUCUGCUCUGAAGUCAAAUAUCUCCCAGCCAUGCAUUUAUUCUAGGAAUUGUUUAUGUUCAUCUGCUUCACAGUUCAGCAUUGUAGAAUCACAUUCUGUGUAUUUAUUUGCAUUAAUAUGUUCAGCAACAGACAUGAGGAGACCCCUAUUCAGGUUUUCUACCCUCCUGCCUGACACUCUCUCUCAUAACUUUCACCUUCUCAUACAACAUUCUUUGUCUUCCCAACAGAAUAAGAUGAUUUAGGUUAUACUGCUCUACUUAAGUUUCAUCUCUUUGUGCCAUGGUCCAUUUAGUGUCUUCAGGCACAAAGCUGAGGUGAUUAUGGGUAUCAUCCUUUUUGUUUUUCUUCUCACAGAUAUCACAAUUCUGUGCAGCUCAUUUUUUCAAUAUUCAAAAUUGAUUUCCCCCACUUUUCUAGUUGUUUCAGCAGUAUGUCAAGUUCGCUAACACUCAUUUCAAAAUUGUAUGGCCGGAAGUGGAAAUUCCUCAUUCUUUAUAUAUUGACAUAUUUACUCUUCAAACUGAGUGGUUAACUAUCUUGCCAAAUGUCACUGUGCAAGGAUUUGAACAUAGUAUGCCAGAUUCAGAAUCUAUGCAAUUAACCAUUAUAGCAAAGUGUGUACAAUAAAUUAUAAAUGGUGCUUUGUAGCCUAAGUAGAAAACACAAUGAAGGGAGUGGCAGGAGAUGAGGUUGGAGAGUUAUGUAGGAGCAGCCACAUUAAAGACAGUACUGCGGGCAGUGUUAAAGAGUUUGGUCUGCUUCCUAUAGGCCACCAAAAGCUACAGGAUAAUUUGCAGGAAAGAGCAACUUUGUCAGACUUUUUCUUUAGGUAUUAUUCUGGGAGUGGUGUAAUGGAUGGAUUUGGAAACAGACCAGAGAUAGGAAUGCGAUUCAUUCUGCGUAUGAAAUGAUGUGCACAAUACAUGUAGUCACUGAAUUUUUAAAAACUAAUUGCUAAGUUUCAAAGCUUUCUUUGAUAAGCAUGUUUAAAAUUUUCAUAUAAGAACAGCUAUUUUAAAAGUUAAAUAAAUAUCUAGAAGCCAAUGACGUUAUGAUUAAUACAUUCAAUUACUUUGUCAUGAAAUUAAAGUUGAAUCUCUGAGUCCACUUAUUAUUAAAGUGUUUGUUUUUCUUUAAAGAUGGUUAAAAAUAUUCUUUCUAGUUGGAGAAUGCCUAAAAACGAAAGUUUUCUUCCCUUGGGCAAGGCAUACCUUAGCAAACUGAAGUUAGGUCCUCAUCUGUAGAUUGAAACACUGGGUAACUAAAGCAGUGAUAUGUCAAACUUCUCUGGCAACUGAUUUCUCUUUAUAAGUGAAGGCUGAUUCAGAAAUGCAAUAAGUAUUGAGAAAACAUUGGGCAACCCUGCCUACAUAGUCACUGUUACCCGAUUCCAAGGCAUCAUUGCCCUUAGGACUCUUCUUGGAAUCCACACUAGUAACUCAGUUGGGAAAUCAUUAAACUACAUAAUCUAAAGUGAGGUAAAAUGUUAUCCAACUCAUUAAUGCAUAUAUACAGAGGAUAAACACACACACACACACACACACACACACACACACACAUAGUGUGUGGAUCAUUUAACACCUAAAUCAAAUGGUCAUGGAAUAAUUAUGUUUGUUUUAUCUGUUUACAAGUAGCUAAUUUACCCCCAAACUGUGGUAGCUUGAGUAAACACAGCUUACAAAAGUUUGUAAGUGAUGUAUUACAAAAGCAGUACAGAUCAAAUGACAAUUCAAAGUAGUUCUCAAACUCAUAGGUCAGCCAUGUCCUAAAUUCUUACCUUAAAACCUUGAUCAACAAUUCUUAUAAAAAUACCUUUUUCUAGCUCUAGAAUAUUAAUCUUGUCAUCACGUUACAUGUCUUAAAGAAAUUCUGAGAGGUUUCUGUGUGAUUCUAAGGUUACCUGUAAAAUGGGAAAUCUAUAAUUAUAUGCUUUGCAGUCAGCUGCUUCCUUCAGGCAACCACCUUGCAUUAAAUCUGCCAUUAAAAUAAAUUUAAAAAGUCUCCCCAGGGAUUGUUUUGCUCUCGUAAACUACUAAUCUGCUAAAUAUGUAAUUGAAUUAUUCUGUCAUCUUAGCACCAACUUCACUUUUAAAUAAAAACUCCUUGUAAAUAAGAGGACAAGCCAUAGAGCUGAGAUCAAUACAUACUUCUAUAAACCUUUCUUAAUAGUUGCUGAGUAGAAAAAAUAAAAGCAACUCUUAAAACUCUCCUUAUUUUCUUACCACUGUCUUGUCACUUAUGAUGAUGAGUGUACCUUUGUAGGAGCCUGGAAUAUAGCAAGAGAGAAAGAAAGGAACUAAGGAGCUACAAGAGAGUCAGAAAACAAUUAUCAAAAUGGCAAUAGAAGGUCAUUACUCAUCAAUAAUUACUUUAAAUGUAAAUGGAUUAGAUUAUCCAAUCGAAAGAUAGAGUGGCUGAAUGGAUAAAAGACCAAAAUUCAACUGUGUGUUGCUUAUUAAAAAACUCAUUUUAACUUGAAGAAUGCACAUAUGCUGAAAGUAAAGGAAUACAAAAAGAUGUUUUACGCAAAUGAUAACCAAAACAGACCAGGAUUGGCUAUACUAAUAUCAGGCAAAAUAGACUUUAAGCAAAAAACUGUAAAAAAAGACAAAGAAGGUCCUCAUAUAAAGAUAAUGGGGUCAAAUUACCAAAGGAUAUAACAAUUAUAAAUAUAGAUGCAUCUAACAUUUUAGCACCUAAAUGUUUUUUUUUUUUUUUUAAAUAUUAACAGAACUGAAGGGAGAAAAAAAUACAAUAACAGCGGGGGACUUCAACACUCCACUUUCAACAAUGAAUAG
This 6232-nucleotide long non-coding RNA is filed under the name Homo sapiens (human). Its description in RNAcentral is "HSALNT0077312". Lineage: Eukaryota; Metazoa; Chordata; Mammalia; Primates; Hominidae. The record is from RNAcentral.